GUGCACAUAUACUAAAAUUGGAUGAUACACAGACAAUUAGCAUGGCACCUAUGCAAGGAUGAAACACAGAUUCAUGAAGAGUUCCAUAUUUUA
Molecule: small nuclear RNA, 93 nt
Organism: Sarcophilus harrisii (Tasmanian devil)
Lineage: Eukaryota; Metazoa; Chordata; Mammalia; Dasyuromorphia; Dasyuridae
Source: Ensembl